This 87-nucleotide non-coding RNA is filed under the name Vibrio sinaloensis. RNAcentral's name for it is "c-di-GMP sequence". It matches the Rfam family "c-di-GMP-I riboswitch aptamer". From Rfam's summary of the family: GEMM was predicted in a large-scale screen for bacterial structured RNA regulatory elements. Genes associated with GEMM are involved in a diverse array of functions, including chemotaxis regulation, signal transduction, secretion and chitin. The record is from RNAcentral. RNAcentral also lists the same sequence under 1 other name. Lineage: Bacteria; Pseudomonadati; Pseudomonadota; Gammaproteobacteria; Vibrionales; Vibrionaceae.
CCACGAACAGGGCAAACCAUUUCGAAAGGAUGGGACGCAAAGCCUCCGGCCUUAAGUAUACUUAUACAAGGUAGCGGGGUUGCCGAU